RNAcentral lists this ribosomal RNA (379 nucleotides) under uncultured eukaryote. RNAcentral's name for it is "partial 18S ribosomal RNA". It matches the Rfam family "Eukaryotic small subunit ribosomal RNA", at positions 592 to 976 of the family's 1831-position model. The record is from RNAcentral.
CAAUAGCGUAUAUUAAAGUUGUUGCAGUUAAAAAGCUCGUAGUUGAACCUUGGGCCUGGCUGGCCGGUCCGCCUCACCGCGUGCACUGGUUCGGCCGGGCCUUUCCCUCUGGGGAUCCGCAUGCUCUUCACUGAGUGUGUUGGGGAACCAGGACUUUUACUGUGAAAAAAUUAGAGUGUUCAAAGCAGGCCUAUGCUCGAAUACAUUAGCAUGGAAUAAUAGAAUAGGACGUGUGGUUCUAUUUUGUUGGUUUCUAGGACCGCCGUAAUGAUUAAUAGGGACAGUCGGGGGCAUCAGUAUUCAAUUGUCAGAGGUGAAAUUCUUGGAUUUAUUGAAGACUAACUACUGCGAAAGCAUUUGCCAAGGAUGUUUUCAUUAA